GAUGAACGCUGGCGGCGUGCCUAAUACAUGCAAGUCGAGCGAAGCGGGGACGGGUGAGUAACACGUGGAUAACCUCCUAUACGAAUGGGAUAACUUCGGGAAACCGGAGCUAAAACGGAUACUUAUAGAUGGAUCAGCGCUGCAUUAGCUAGUUGGUAAGGUAACGGCUUACCAAGGCAACGAAGCAUAGCCAACCUGAUAGGGUGAUCGGCCACACAGGAAUUGAGCCACGGUCCAGACGCCUACCGGAGGCAGAGGUAAGGAAACUUCCGCAAGUGUCGCAAGCCUUACCGAGCAACGCCGCGGUGGGGAUGAAGGUCUUCAGAGCGUAAAACUCUUGUAUUAGGGGAGAGGUAACGAAUCGGAAAGGCACGGCUAACUACGUGCCAGCAGCCGCGGUAAUAC
Molecule: ribosomal RNA, 405 nt
Filed under: uncultured bacterium
Lineage: Bacteria
Description: partial 16S ribosomal RNA
Rfam family: Bacterial small subunit ribosomal RNA
Source: RNAcentral